Molecule: unclassified non-coding RNA, 527 nt
Filed under: Moricandia moricandioides
Lineage: Eukaryota; Viridiplantae; Streptophyta; Magnoliopsida; Brassicales; Brassicaceae
Description: sequence contains ITS1, 5.8S rRNA gene and ITS2
Source: RNAcentral
UUUUGGACCGGAACGACCGACGGUAUGACGAGUUUUGAAUUCACCACCGCAKGUCGAGACGCUCCUGGCGUCCUUCGCUCGGAUUUUGGCCAACCGCGUGCGGUAACACACGGGAGASCAGCUUCCGUCCCUUUUCCUCGAGAGGAUGGGGGGACGACGAUUUGUGACACCCAGGCAGACGUGCCCUCGGCCAGAAGGCUUGGGGCGCAACUUGCGUUCAAAGACUCGAUGGUUCACGGGAUUCUGCAAUUCACACCAAGUAUCGCAUUUCGCUACGUUCUUCAUCGAUGCGAGAGCCCAGAUAUCCGUUGCCGAGAGUCGUUUUACACUUUCUAUUGCAGCACAGCUUCCGCGCAAACACCGUCUCCGGGUUGGCGAACGCGGGCUGCUUAGUUGCAUGUUCCUUGACACUUUUCGUGCCGUGGUUUGGUGAUGUCCGGAAGCUAUGCACAACGACCCUGSCRAGACAAAAGCCUUGGCCGGGGACGAAACGCAUAACCACGGAAUCGGCARGCACGGAUUCASCU